CCUACGGGGGGCAGCAGUGGGGAAUAUUGGACAAUGGGGGCAACCCUGAUCCAGCCAUGCCGCGUGUGUGAAGAAGGCCCUCGGGUUGUAAAGCACUUUCAGUGAGGAAGAACGCCUGGUGGUUAAUACCCAUCAGGAAAGACAUCACUCACAGAAGAAGCACCGGCUAACUCCGUGCCAGCAGCCGCGGUAAUACGGAGGGUGCGAGCGUUAAUCGGAAUUACUGGGCGUAAAGCGCGCGUAGGUGGCUUGAUAAGCCGGUUGUGAAAGCCCUGGGCUCAACCUGGGAACGGCAUCCGGAACUGUCAAGCUAGAGUGCAGGAGAGGAAGGUAGAAUUCCCGGUGUAGCGGUGAAAUGCGUAGAGAUCGGGAGGAAUACCAGUGGCGAAGGCGGCCUUCUGGACUGACACUGACACUGAGGUGCGAAAGCGUGGGUAGCAAACAGGAUUAGAUACCCUAGUAGUC
This 465-nucleotide ribosomal RNA is filed under the name Vreelandella stevensii. Its description in RNAcentral is "partial 16S ribosomal RNA". It matches the Rfam family "Bacterial small subunit ribosomal RNA", at positions 338 to 795 of the family's 1533-position model. Lineage: Bacteria; Pseudomonadati; Pseudomonadota; Gammaproteobacteria; Oceanospirillales; Halomonadaceae. The record is from RNAcentral.